RNAcentral lists this unclassified non-coding RNA (156 nucleotides) under uncultured Capnodiales. RNAcentral's name for it is "sequence contains ITS2". Lineage: Eukaryota; Fungi; Ascomycota; Dothideomycetes; Capnodiales. The record is from RNAcentral.
CACCACUCAAGCCUCGCUUGGUAUUGGGUGCCGCGGGUGGCCCUGCCCCCGCGCGCCUCAAAGACUUCGGCCGAGCACUUCAGUCUCUCAGCGUUGUGGAAACUUUUCGCUAGGUGGAUUUGAAGGGCCCGACGCCGUUAAACCUCUUAUAUUACA